UGCACCACCUAGGACAAGAAAGCAAUUUGAUAGAGACAGGCCAAAAGGUGGAUUUGAGGCUUCCCUGCAAAAAAGUAGCCAUGUGGCUUCAUAGUCCAGCCCUGGAGCCAAGAGACUGAAGCAGCCCAGGCUAGCCUCAACCCUGGUGAUUAGACCCUUGAGGUUUACUGAUGAUCAGCUGCUGCCUGCCUGUGCCCUUCAAGAGCUGCAAGUUCCUGAUGAGUCCCUGGAUUUUUCCAGUUGAACUUGUCUUUCUUUUCAAUUGUUUGAAAACUGAGCAAGAGCAUCCCCACCAGCACAACACCAGUGACGACCAAGGCCAGCUGGCUUCCAAAGAUGCUGCUGAAAUCUGGGG
This 355-nucleotide long non-coding RNA is filed under the name Ictidomys tridecemlineatus (thirteen-lined ground squirrel). RNAcentral describes it as "lncRNA (ENSSTOG00000032288.1)". The record is from RNAcentral. Lineage: Eukaryota; Metazoa; Chordata; Mammalia; Rodentia; Sciuridae.